This 560-nucleotide ribosomal RNA is filed under the name uncultured bacterium. RNAcentral's name for it is "bacterial SSU rRNA". It matches the Rfam family "Bacterial small subunit ribosomal RNA", at positions 338 to 916 of the family's 1533-position model. The record is from RNAcentral.
CCUACGGGAGGCAGCAGUGGGGAAUAUUGGACAAUGGGGGAAACCCUGAUCCAGCAAUGCCGCGUGAGUGAUGAAGGCCUUAGGGUCGUAAAGCUCUUUUACCAGGGAUGAUAAUGACAGUACCUGGAGAAUAAGCUCCGGCUAACUCCGUGCCAGCAGCCGCGGUAAUACGGAGGGAGCUAGCGUUGUUCGGAAUUACUGGGCGUAAAGCGUGCGUAGGCGGUUAUUCAAGUCAGAGGUGAAAGCCCGGGGCUCAACCCCGGAACGGCCUUUGAAACUAGAUAACUAGAAUCUUGGAGAGGUCAGUGGAAUUCCGAAUGUAGAGGUGAAAUUCGUAGAUAUUCGGAAGAACACCAGUGGCGAAGGCGACUGACUGGACAAGUAUUGACGCUGAGGUACGAAAGCGUGGGGAGCAAACAGGAUUAGAUACCCUGGUAGUCCACGCCGUAAACGAUGAUAACUAGCUGUCCGGACACUUGGUGUUUGGGUGGCGCAGCUAACGCAUUAAGUUAUCCGCCUGGGGAGUACGGUCGCAAGNUUAAAACUCAAGGAAUUGACGG